This 71-nucleotide transfer RNA is filed under the name Marmota monax (woodchuck). RNAcentral's name for it is "tRNA.Thr". The stretch from base 6 to 66 matches the Rfam family "tRNA", at positions 6 to 65 of the family's 71-position model. From Rfam's summary of the family: Transfer RNA (tRNA) molecules are approximately 80 nucleotides in length. Their secondary structure includes four short double-helical elements and three loops (D, anti-codon, and T loops). Lineage: Eukaryota; Metazoa; Chordata; Mammalia; Rodentia; Sciuridae. The record is from RNAcentral.
GAGGAUGUAGCUCAGUGGUAGAGCACUUUCCUGGUGUGUAUAAGGGCCUGGGUUCGAUUCCCAGUACUACA